UUAAGGGGUGUCCGUCGUGGACGGGCUGAGAUUAAACCCUCGAACCUGAUCCGGGUAAUGCCGGCGUAGGGAUGAAUUGAC
Molecule: non-coding RNA, 81 nt
Filed under: uncultured Prevotella sp.
Lineage: Bacteria; Pseudomonadati; Bacteroidota; Bacteroidia; Bacteroidales; Prevotellaceae
Description: TPP riboswitch (THI element)
Rfam family: TPP riboswitch aptamer (THI element)
About the family: Vitamin B(1) in its active form thiamin pyrophosphate (TPP) is an essential coenzyme that is synthesised by coupling of pyrimidine and thiazole moieties in bacteria. The previously detected thiamin-regulatory element, thi box was extended, resulting in a new, highly conserved RNA secondary structure, the THI element, which is widely distributed in eubacteria and also occurs in some archaea.
Source: RNAcentral